UACGAAGGGGGCUAGCGUUGCUCGGAAUCACUGGGCGUAAAGCGCACGUAGGCGGACUCUUAAGUCGGUGGUGAAAUCCUGGAGCUCAACUCCAGAACUGCCUCCGAUACUGGGAGUCUUGGAGUCCGGGAGAGGUGAGUGGAACUGCGAGUGUAGAGGUGAAAUUCGUAGAUAUUCGCAAGAACACCAGUGGCGAAGGCGGCUCACUGGCCCGGUACUGACGCUGAGGUGCGAAAGCGUGGGGAGCAAACAGG
RNAcentral lists this ribosomal RNA (254 nucleotides) under uncultured bacterium. Its description in RNAcentral is "partial 16S ribosomal RNA". It matches the Rfam family "Bacterial small subunit ribosomal RNA", at positions 524 to 776 of the family's 1533-position model. The record is from RNAcentral.